Molecule: ribosomal RNA, 328 nt
Filed under: uncultured eukaryote
Lineage: Eukaryota
Description: partial 18S ribosomal RNA
Rfam family: Eukaryotic small subunit ribosomal RNA
Source: RNAcentral
CCCUUAGAUGAUUUGGGCUGCACGCGCGCUACACUGACCCUAACAAUGAGCAACUGUCUGGCCUGAGAUGGCUGGGUAGCCUUUUCAACCCAUGUCAUGAUUGGGCUAGAUUUUUGUAAGUCUUGAUCUCUAACGAGGAAUCCCUAGUAUGCGUGAAUCAUCAAUCCAUGCAGAUUAUGUCCCUGCCCUUUGUACACACCGCCCGUCGCUCCUACCGAUUGAAUGAUCCGAUGAAUAUCAUGGAUUGAGGAUGCAAGUAGGUUCGCCUAUCUUCAUCUUCGAGAAGUGAAGUAAAUCUUAUCAUUUAGAGGAAGGAGAAGUCGUAACA